Molecule: non-coding RNA, 395 nt
Organism: Danio rerio (zebrafish)
Lineage: Eukaryota; Metazoa; Chordata; Actinopteri; Cypriniformes; Danionidae
Source: Ensembl
ACAGCAUUGAGUUAAAGUGACCACAGAAUAAAGUAAGCAAGUGUCAGAGGCAGAGGAGACACAUCAACCAGCAAGUGUGUAACUUAUCAGGAAAAUGACUGACUGAAUGGAUGACUGUCUAGGUUGCAAGCAGGACAUACUUGUUACAGUUAAGUAUUUCAGCUACAACAUACUGUUAAAUCACAAUAACCAUCUUGCCAUUAAUUGUAACUUCACAGUAAAGUAUAGUUAAUUCUACAAGAGAAUAAGGUGAAAUCACAGAAAUGGGCCUUACUAUAUACCUUGAAGUCACAUAUGGCUGUAAUUUCACUGUGAGCGCUGAAUUGGAGAAGCCACUGUGUACCAUGAAUCUUUACAGCUGCUGAGGAGCUCUUGGAGUAAGACAGAGAUCUGAG